AUUCAAACUGAGCCAGCAGCUAUUCCGUUGCAAAUAGAGUUUGAAGACACAUCCAGACAAGUGGAAGAGGUUCGGGAUGUUUCCAUUCCAGUGUCUCAAGCCGAAUUGCAAACAGAUUUGCAAAUGCACAAAGAAUCUACGACCAUGACCUUUACUUAUGAAAAUGUUAGCUCAGCCAUUCACCAUGAUAAGCUGCCUUACACAUCUGCUCAUGUACUUGAGGAAAUCAAUACCACAGACAUUGAAUCACAACAUGAUAAUGCAAGGGGUGGGACUGCCGCACCACUUCAGCACUCCUCUUUUGAUGUUAUGGCUUUUGAACAUUCAACACAAGCACAAUCCAGACCGAUUGAGAUAGCACAUACUACACGCCAGGAUGAUACUGACAUGAAUGUUGCACCUGCGCGUGCUGGUUCUAUUCGACACCAUGAAAUUCCAGUCACAAAAAAUGUACAAAAUGACUUGGAUUUAUGGGCUCGCAUUCGCGAGUAUGAUCAACGGAUGGCAACAGAAGGCUUCACGCAAGUGUUAUCCAAGAAGCAGCAACAAACAUUGAAAAAGCAAGUUCUGGGUAAAGCUUCGUAUAAAACCCGUGCAAAGGGUACUCCUCCUCCUCAAUGAGUGUCCUUUAUUGGAACAUCUGAGGUAUCGGUAAAUUUGUAUCUAAAAUUGCCUUGAGAAAUUUAUCUCUGUCUCAUAAACCAUUUUUUAUGGCGGAACCGAAGAUUUGUUUUGAAAGUGUUCCUUCUUGGUAUUGGAAUAGCAUUGGAUUUUCGAAAUAUUGCUUGAAUGUUAGAGCUGCCAAUUAUGGGCUCUUUGGGGCAAUGAGAUUUCCCCAACUAGUGCUGACAAGUUAGCGUUACGAGUUCAGUUUGGUUGGAUACGCUCCUGACGGAGUUACGCCUUGAUUUCUAUCGUGAUAGAGUUGGUUUGCCCAACUAUAAGCUACCUUAGUGUUUGCAGGUUGUUGUUUAUUUUUCUUUGUCUGUUUCUUUUCUUUUUCGGUUCUUUCUUUUGGAGGGUUUUGGCCUAGUCCCCCCUCUUUUGUAAUUAUUUUUCCCCUUUUUUUAAUAAAAUUUUAGAGUUUGGCGGCAUAGGAUGGAGGUUUCCCGGGGUGCCAAUCUAGUUGGAACGUCGGUGUUUCCUUUUGAUGUCUGUCCUUUCCCCUUGCUUAAAAAAGAAAAAAAAAUUGUGUUUUAUAUUCGUACAUAACUUUACAAUGGUAUAAUUAUUUUCCCGUUUACCCUCACGAAAGGUUAAAAAAAAAUACAAUUAUUUACAGGAAAAAGUAAACUAAAAUUUGUAAAAUUGUAUUCAAAUAUAUUGAUUAUUAUUUUUAUCACAUGAAGUCCUUUUAUGUGUUCCAAAUGAACAAAAAUAACACAUUGAUAUAUUUAAGAGAUAUUUACUAAUAAUUAUAAAAUUAUGAAGAGCUUUUAAAAAUUUAUAAUGCUUAAACUAUUUAAUUAUUUCUAUUACAAGGUGGAGUAUGUUUGUGAAUGCUAAAAAACUUCUUUAUAAUUCAUUUGGCCACUCAUAAGAGUAUAAGAAAAAAAAAAUUAUAACAUGUUUUUGUUCAUGUUUUGAGGCAAUGUUCCUUCUAUAAGUUGCUUUUUUAAUCUCUGCUUGAUCGUAUUAUGCGAGGCAUAGUUAACUUCAUUAGUAAUUAACAUAAAAUAUAUUCUACUUGUUCAAAAAUAUUUAAUUGUGCUUUAUAUUCGUACAUAACUUUACGAUGGUAUAAUUGUUUUCCCCUCUACCCUCACGAAAAGUUAAAAAAAAUACAAUUAUUUACAGGAAAAAGUAAACUAAAGUUUGUAAAAUUGUAUUCAAUUAUAUUGAUUAUUAUUUUUAUCACAUGAAAUCAUUUAAUGUUUUCAAAAUGAACAAAAAUAAAACAUUUAUAUAUUUAAGAGAUAUUUACUAAUAUUUAAAAAAUUGUGAAGAGCUUUUAAAAAUUUAUAAUGUUUAAACUAUUUAAUUAUUUCUACAACAAGGUGGAGUAUGUUUGUGAUUACUAAAAAACUUAUUUAUAGUUCAUUUGGCCAUUCAUAAGAUCAUAGGAAAAACUUUUUAUAAAAUCUUUUUGUUCAUGUGUUGAGGCAAUGUUCCUUCAAUAGAUUGCUUUUUAAUCUAUGCGUUGUCGUAUUAUGUGAGGAGUAGUUAACUUCAUUAGUAAUUAACAUAACAUAUGUCCUACUUGUUCAAAAAUAUUUAAUUGUGCUUUAUAUUCGUACAUAACUUUACGAUGGUAUAAUUGUUUUCCCCUUUACCCUCACGGAAGGUUAAAAAAAAUACAAUUAUUUACAGAAAAAAGUAAACUCAAGUUUGUAAAACUGUAUUAAAUUAUAUUGAUUAUUAUUUUUAUCACAUGAAAUCGUUUUAUGUGUGCCAAAUGAACAAAAAUAACACAUUGAUAUAUUUAAGAGAUAUUUACUAAUAAUUCUAAAAUUAUGA
Molecule: long non-coding RNA, 2457 nt
Filed under: Medicago truncatula (barrel medic)
Lineage: Eukaryota; Viridiplantae; Streptophyta; Magnoliopsida; Fabales; Fabaceae
Description: lncRNA gene21376
Source: RNAcentral